AAAAAUUAAGUGAGAAGAGCCGCGCUAAAGCCAAGCGUCGUCGUCACCCCAGGUCAAGGGGUGGAAGUUACACCUGGUGCAGCCCUCGGCUCUGAUGCAAAAGCAGCUUUUGCCCCUGGCUGCGGGACAGCGCUGUGACUACUCGCUUCGGGAGAGCUGCUGCCCGUCCCCACACCGUGCAGAAAGCGCCGGCGACCCGGGCGCUGAGAAUGGUCUGCAUAGGGGAGCGGAGAGAAACCUCUGUUCCGCCCUAGAUCCGCUGCCUCGGCGCCCGCCCGCAGGGAGGAGGGGGUGCGACAGGUCGUCUAGCGCGUGCCCCGGAGCCCGCGCCCGGGUCUGGCCGCCUGGGGCCUGGGCUCCCUUCAGAGACUCACACAAGUGGUUUAUCAUGAGAAGGACCGCACUAUUUCAUUUCACUCCUACAAGUUUUCAUUUAUGUUACACAUUGAGAAAGUUAUGAGAAGCAACUGUCACUCUCUGGAGGUGGAGACUGCCGUGAUUCACAAAGACAAGAGGUAAUUUUCCUGUAAUCACAGGAUGACUCAGGAUGGAUCAUGAAGCCGCCCAGCUGGAGAAGC
Molecule: small RNA, 578 nt
Filed under: Pongo abelii (Sumatran orangutan)
Lineage: Eukaryota; Metazoa; Chordata; Mammalia; Primates; Hominidae
Description: processed transcript
Source: RNAcentral